UAUCUACGAUGAUUUGAUCGACAUGUGUUGCAGUAAAGGGAUGGAACAUAGUCGAAGACCUUUAGUUCCUGUUCGUAAUGCUCAUGGCGCGGUAGAGAAGACCUUUAUUGAUCUUGAGACAUUUCAGUUUAUGCCUAAGAUCAAAGACAAUGUGAAGGGUGUGAUGUUUUACAUCUGAUCCUUAUAUAUAUGUUGUCUGAUGCUGCCUUAAAAAUAUUUCAGUUUUUGCCUAAACUAGAAACAUUGGGCUUUUUGAUGGAUAUAAUCUCUGUUUGAAGAGGUUGC
Molecule: long non-coding RNA, 285 nt
Organism: Salvia splendens (bonfire salvia)
Lineage: Eukaryota; Viridiplantae; Streptophyta; Magnoliopsida; Lamiales; Lamiaceae
Exons: 2
Source: RefSeq, a predicted model, not a curated record